RNA transcript from Gossypium arboreum, 2591 nucleotides. It is a transcript of the gene named protein ANTI-SILENCING 1, with no coding region annotated. Lineage: Eukaryota; Viridiplantae; Streptophyta; Magnoliopsida; Malvales; Malvaceae. The transcript is spliced from 13 exons. The record is from RefSeq and is a predicted model, not a curated record.
UAUUCUCAUUAUAUAAAAAGACUGCCCAUUAGUAUAACUGCUGAAGAGUUGUUGAGUUGAGACCGAUGGUGAAUGAAGAGAAUCCAGGAAGAAAGACGUCACAAGCAGACAUAUAAAUAAGAUUAUUAUUUUUGGUUUUAAAAGAUUACAAGAAGAGGAAGGUUAAAGAUAGAGUUAACUAAAGCGAGCGAGACGAAGGCGGGACAUUAAGGGUGCGACUCGCUAGGGUUUAAAAACAAAGAAAACAAUUGCGAAGGCAAUCACUCCUUACUCUUGGUCUCUUCUGAAAACGUUUUGUUAUUUCUGGUUAAGUCGAGGCCUGCUGUGCGAGUAUGGUAGAAGUCGAUGGAAUAGAGAACCUUGAAUUCAAGUGGGGUAAAAAAAGAGGAACUGGGGGGACAAAUACGAAAGUUCAGUUUUACGAAUCAUUUACUUAUGACGGUCUUGACUACACUCUUUAUGACAAUGUUUAUCUUCACAAGGAAGGUGAACCAUUGCCAUAUCUUGGAAAACUUAUAAAAAUAUGGGAGACUGCUAGUCGGUUGAAGAAAGUGAAGGUUUUAUGGUUUUUCCAACCUUCUGAGAUCUCAAAUUAUCUUUUCGUUGAAUUGGCACAUCCAAAUGAAGUAUUUUUGGCAUCUGGUGAAGGAGUAGGCCUUGCCAACAUUAAUCCAUUGGAAGCAAUUGCUGGAAAAUGCAAUGUAGUUUGCAUUUCAAAGGAUGACAGAAAUCCACAACCUUCAGACGAAGAUAUCCAAAUGGCUGACUAUGUGUUUUACCGUACAUUUGAUGUCGGGCAGCGCAUUAUUUUGGACAAGAUAGAUGGAAAAAUUGCUGGAAUUGAUGUUAAAUUUAUUUUUAACCAAUCGGGUUCUCUGAAGCCUUGUUCUAUUCAUAACUUUAGUGUGGAUGAACCUGCUAGUGAAAAUGCUAUUGAAACAAAUGGAAGAGUGGUUAUGUCUAAGCUAAACUCAUCUGAGAACCAAAUUCCUGAAGAUGAUAGACAAGUGGAACAGAAACCUGUGGUUGCAGAGAAUGGCUUUAACCACAAAGCUGAAGAGAAUUCAGAUGUAAAAGCUUCAUCAGUUAAACCGAAUCUCUCCCUGCAACAGGAAGUUGUUCCUGGUGUAGUUUCAGAGUCAGGUGAACUGGCCAAAACCAAUGACAGAUCUGGUGAUAGGACAGGUUUGAGCCUUAAAAUUAAAGCAAAUGCAGACUCUAAACUGAAAAAUCCUUCUGGUGAGGAGAUAGGUUGUGUCAAUCAAGUCAAAAGUGAAGAAAAAUUAAAAUCCGUUAAGGAUACAGUUGAGUUGGAUGAGAGGCCACAUAAGAAAGCAAAGCUUGAUAAUUCUGUGAAAGUCUACAGUGACAAGGAAACUACAAAAUGUGCUACAGAACCUUGUGGGACAGCCAAAAUCCCUUCCAAAAAGCUGAAGAUUGAUGAUAAAUUCAAAAAAUCUACUAACUGCAAAUCUCCUGCAGUGCCUUCAAAUGAUGGUAUUAAAACUGGUGACAAAGCUAUGGAAGUUACCCGUAGGCCUGAUUCUGAUAGGAGCAAAUGGUUUGGAGAACUCCCUUGGGAAGAAAGUUUGCAAGAUGCACACGAGUUUGGAAAACUUGUUCUGUUUCAGAACUUGGAUCCAGCUUACUCUUCAGCAGAAGUGGAGGAUAUAGUUUGGAAUGCCUUCAGUGAAACUUGCAGAGCAAAGAUGGUGCAGCAGACUGCAUAUUCUAGCCCUCAUUUUGGACAAGCUUUUGCUAUAUUCAAGUCAAGGGAAGUUGCAGAGGAUGUUAUUAAAAAAUUGGAUGAGAGAUGCCUGUUGCUACCAAAUCGGAGGCCGCUUGUAGCCAGCAUUCCGAAUCCUUGCUUCUCAAGGAAGCAGUCAAUGUUUGCAGGCCAUCUUAUUGUUGAUAAACUCAAAUCCCAAAGGGAGAUGAAAGAAGCAGUAUCUACUUCACAUUCUUCCCAGCCUAACACAGUUGAAUAUGAUAUGGCCAUGGAAUGGUUUUUAAUGACUGAAAGAUCCAAUCAGUUCUGGAAAAAAUUAUACGAGCAACAAGGGAAAGAGCUAAAAAAACUGAGGGUUAACUUUAAGUCCAAAUGAGCACUAAUAAUUUUGUCUUCCCCUGAUUUUGUAUGUUCCUUUGAAUUAAAAGGAAGCCAUUUUAUGAAGCAAACCACUAAUGCGGAGUUCUGUUUAGACCUCUGAUAUGAAGUUGUCAAGGUGAUGGAAGUGUGGAAACUUGAUUUUAGUUGUGUUCUCAGGUGCACUUCAAUUAGGCGGUGCAACAGACGGGGUAUGCAAAAAUGGAGGCCCGAGCUGUGUUCGGUAUUCAGGCAAAUUUUGGGAAGUGUAAUUAUGACAUGCAGUUCAGUUUUAGCAAGAUGGUUAGAUCCUCUCAUAUACAUAUAUUUUCUCGAUUAUGGGCAAUUUGUAUAAUCCUUUCUGCGAUGCCCUCUUUUUUGCUAGGAUACGUUUUCCUAGCUCUGGCUGUUGUUUAGUUUUGUUUCCUCCUGCCGAACACUCUUGGGUUGUUUUUUGCAGAUUACAACUAACUUCCAUGUUUGGAACUUUCAACUAAAAACAUAA